CCUACGGGAGACAGCAGUGAGGAAUAUUGGUCAAUGGGCGGAAGCCUGAACCAGCCAAGUAGCGUGCGGGAUGAAUGCCCUACGGGUCGUAAACCGCUUUUGCACGGGGAUAACACCCUCCACUUGUGGAGGUCUGCAGGUACCGUGCGAAUAAGGGCCGGCUAAUUCCGUGCCAGCAGCCGCGGUAAUACGGAAGGCGCGAGCGUUAUCCGGAUUCAUUGGGCUUAAAGGGUGCGUAGGCGGGAGUUAAAGUCAGCGGUAAAAUCGCGCGGCUUAACCGCGCUCCGCAGUUGAAACUGGACGGCUUGAGAACAGACGAGGCAGGCGGAAUUCGUGGUGUAGCGGUGAAAUGCAUAGAUAUAACGAGGAACCCCGAUUGCGAAGGCAGCCUGCCGGGGUGCGACUGACGCUGAGGCUCGAAGGUGCGGGUAUCAAACAGGAUUAGAUACCCCGGUAGUC
This 459-nucleotide ribosomal RNA is filed under the name uncultured bacterium. RNAcentral's name for it is "partial 16S ribosomal RNA". It matches the Rfam family "Bacterial small subunit ribosomal RNA", at positions 338 to 795 of the family's 1533-position model. The record is from RNAcentral.